RNAcentral lists this ribosomal RNA (415 nucleotides) under uncultured crenarchaeote. Its description in RNAcentral is "partial 16S ribosomal RNA". It matches the Rfam family "Archaeal small subunit ribosomal RNA", at positions 330 to 747 of the family's 1478-position model. Lineage: Archaea; Thermoproteati; Thermoproteota. The record is from RNAcentral.
GCGCAGCAGUCGCGCAACCUCUGCAAUACGCGAAAGCGUGACAGGGCUACCCCGAGUGCCGUCCGCUGAGGAUGGCUUUUCUCCGGUGUAGUAAGCCGGGGGAAUAAGGAGAGGGCAAGUCUGGUGUCAGCCGCCGCGGUAAUACCAGCUCUCCGAGUGGUAGGGACGAUUAUUGGGCUUAAAGCGUCCGUAGCCGGCCCAGCAAGUUUCCCGUUAAAUCCAACGAUUCAAUCGUUGGACUGCGGGAGAUACUGUUCGGCUAGGAGGCGAGAGAGGCCAACGGUACUCCCGGAGUAGGGGUGAAAUCCUAUAAUCCCGGGAGGACCACCAGUGGCGAAGGCUGUCGGCUAGAACGCGCUCGACAGUGAGGGACGAAAGCUGGGGGAGCGAACCGGAUUAGAUACCCGUGUAGUCC